UUGUCCCGCCAGGGGCACGGCUGGUUGGCUACGUUCGGCACAGAUAACCGCUGAAAGCAUCUAAGCGGGAAGCUGGCUUCGAGAUGAGGUCUCCCCUCCGACCUUCGGGUCGGGUAAGGCCCCCACACGAUGAGUGGGUUGAUAGGCCCGACAUGCACGCACAGCAAUGUGUUCAGUCGACGGGUACUAACCGGCCGAGCGGCUUACCCA
Molecule: ribosomal RNA, 210 nt
Filed under: Halopolyspora algeriensis
Lineage: Bacteria; Bacillati; Actinomycetota; Actinomycetes
Description: partial 23S ribosomal RNA
Rfam family: Bacterial large subunit ribosomal RNA
Source: RNAcentral